Molecule: long non-coding RNA, 634 nt
Filed under: Homo sapiens (human)
Lineage: Eukaryota; Metazoa; Chordata; Mammalia; Primates; Hominidae
Description: long intergenic non-protein coding RNA 2364
Source: RNAcentral
AGAACAAGAAAAGGCUCUGAAACAGAUCCAAGAUGUUGUUUGAGCCAUGCAACUAGAAGAUCUCAUAGAACUAAAGUUAUCUAAUUUACAGAAAAGGUUUUACGUGACGUCUAUUGUACAGAUUCAUAUGAAAACCAUAGUUCAAACUCCAAGGUUUAAGAAGUAAGAAAGAUCAUGCCAUUUGCAACAAACAUGCAUGCAUAUUUGAAAAGCAACUAUCUGUUGUGGGAAAACUAGAAGACCAAAAAAAGCACGAAAGUCAAGAAAGAAGUCUCUUUUCACAUGAAAGUGGCUGUGCUAAUGGUCUAUCAAGAUAUCCUGAGUUUCCAGUAGAGAUGUUUCAGCCAUAACACAGGCCUGGUAGAAAAAGCCUGAAGACAAAUACUGCUAUGAAUGGUUACAUCUAGGACUUCUGAAAUUAGCCCCAGAUUCAACUCAUUUUUUUCUGCAUUUGCUGAGCAAUAUGACAUGUUUACACCGAUUAGCUAAAAAGUUAUGUGAAGAAUGGGCAACAAUAUCUCUAAGGCAAGAUAUGUUCAGAUCCAAUAUAGUUCAUAUAGACCUUGUCAGAGUAAAUGACCAUGUGCCUUUCAGAACACUAAAGAAUAAAAUCCUUCCACAUUAGAAUGACAAA